Rosa chinensis is the source of this 1481-nucleotide long non-coding RNA. RefSeq lists it as uncharacterized. Lineage: Eukaryota; Viridiplantae; Streptophyta; Magnoliopsida; Rosales; Rosaceae. The transcript is spliced from 8 exons. The record is from RefSeq and is a predicted model, not a curated record.
UUUGCACUUUGGCUUCUAUUUUUAAGUUGACCUACGACCUACCCUCUCUCUGCAUCUCUUCUGGUCGAAUUCAGUCACCACAGACGAUGGUAUUCUCUCUCUUAUCAAUCUGUGUGUUAGGGUUCUGGGUAACCUAAAUUAAUGGAGCAGCGCAGAGAAAAUGGAGAGAGAUGGAAUCACCGUUUAAGGCGGAUGCGUUGAAAGGGAAGGUGGCUUUGAUAACGGGAGGCAGGUCGGGUAUUGGGUUUGAGAUUUCGACCCAGUUCGGGAAACAUGGAGCGUCUAUUGCAAUUAUGGGGAGGAAGAGGCAAGUGUUGGACUCUGCUGUGUCUGCUCUCCGUCUUUUAGGAUUCCGGUGUGCGAGUAGUUUUAACCUGGGGAUGGAGGAGGAAAAUAUUAUGUCAAUGGACUGAAACCAACAGUUCAAAGUUGGAAGGUCUGCAAAUCAACCAAAGAAGAAUCUGUCUUCACUGCAACAUUGACUAUCUCUGCUGUAUGUUUUAGUAUGAGGCUCUUUUGAUAUGUCCAGAAAUCAUUAUGGUGAUAUCUCUCUGCUCUGCUUUACCACAGACGGGUAUUUCGCUAUGCUCUGCUUCUCGAUCUUGUUUUCUUCAUGAUUCCCCGUUGGUUUGCUUUCACCAGGAUCUAAGAGUUUUCUCCGAUCGAAGUGUUGAUGGGCGGUGGCUUUCUUCUCUAUCCAAAUCAGAAUUAGGUGAUGCCAAGCCUCAUCGUCCCGGAAUGUGAUGAUUGAGAACAUUGACAAAGUGUUGGAGGGAGGUGAUUGGUUGGAAUUGCUGGUUGAUAAAACUGCUAAUAUGCAAGGCAAUACCUUUCGAUUCCAAAAACAAGCUCGCUGUUUCAGAAGCACUGUUUGGUGGAGAAAUGUUAAGCUCAUCAUUACAGAUUCGCUUGGACAACAACUUCAACUUCAACUGUUAUUUGGGAGGUUGCAGGGAGAGACAUCGGCAGCAACUAGGAGAAGAUCUGAGAUUACUCUUGAGCUGGACAAGCAUAAUAACCAGUUUUUGUAUAUGGAUGAAGUGAAGCUUGCGAACUACUCAGCCUUAAUGAUGCUUUCGGUUGUGCAGAUCAAUACUAUAAGGAUAAAUUCUCUUUGGAAGUUGGAGGUUAUUGCAGUGAUUAGAAUGAAAGUUCAGUUUAGUAACUGACUAACUGUUAAAUUAGGACAGAAGAGUUUAUGCUAAUGGAAGCAUUUGUUUGGACAUCCUACAAAAUCAGUGGAGCCCUAUUUGUGAUGUAGCAGCUAUACUUACUUCCAUUCAGUCAUUGCUGUGUGAUCCAAACCUGAACUCUCCAGCAAACAAUUAGAAUGCUAGUGUAGUCUAUCCCAAAUACUCAAUAUCUUGAAUUAUUCUAAUUCGUAAUUGAGUAUAGCUGGAAGAUUUGAGAUUGUAUUGAACUGAAUAUUGCUAGUUUGAAAAUUAUUUUGGUUGACAAAGUCAUAUGUAUUGUGAUAUGAA